GGUCGAAUGGUGCAGUUGCUAGCACACGCAGAUUCAUUGAACCACUUCGUCAACUACUCGCUGCGUAACCCUUGUUCGAAUCAAGGUUCGGCCC
Molecule: non-coding RNA, 94 nt
Organism: Mycena metata
Lineage: Eukaryota; Fungi; Basidiomycota; Agaricomycetes; Agaricales; Mycenaceae
Source: the annotation of a GenBank genome assembly